GAAAGGCCAUCGCUCAACAAAUAAAAGGUACUCCGGGGAUAACAGGCUGAUACCGCCCAAGAGUUCAUAUCGACGGCGGUGUUUGGCACCUCGAUGUCGGCUCAUCACAUCCUGGGGCUGAAGCAGGUCCCAAGGGUAUGGCUGUUCGCCAUUUAAAGUGGUACGCGAGCUGGGUUUAGAACGUCGUGAGACAGUUCGGUCCCUAUCUGCCGUGGGCGUAGGAAGAUUGAGGAGAUCUACUUCUAGUACGAGAGGACCGAGGUGGACGCAUCACUGGUGUUCGGGUUGUCAUGCCAAUGGCAUUGCCCGGUAGCUAAAUGCGGAAAAGAUAAGCGCUGAAAGCAUAUAAGCACGAAACUUACUCCAAGAUUAGUCUUCCCUGAAACAUGUUAAUGUUUACUGAAGGGACGUUGAAGACUACGACGUUGAUAGGCUAGAUGUGUAAGUGUAGUAAUACGUUGAGCUAACUAGUACUAAUGACCCGAGA
This 487-nucleotide ribosomal RNA is filed under the name Klebsiella ornithinolytica. RNAcentral describes it as "Raoultella ornithinolytica partial 23S ribosomal RNA". It matches the Rfam family "Bacterial large subunit ribosomal RNA", at positions 2436 to 2914 of the family's 2925-position model. Lineage: Bacteria; Pseudomonadati; Pseudomonadota; Gammaproteobacteria; Enterobacterales; Enterobacteriaceae. The record is from RNAcentral.